RNAcentral lists this ribosomal RNA (511 nucleotides) under uncultured bacterium. RNAcentral describes it as "bacterial SSU rRNA". It matches the Rfam family "Bacterial small subunit ribosomal RNA", at positions 29 to 517 of the family's 1533-position model. The record is from RNAcentral.
AGCGAACGUUAGCGGCGGGCCUAACACAUGCAAGUCGAACGCGAAAGGUCUUCGGACUGAGUAGAGUGGCGCACGGGUGAGUAACACGUAGGUAAUCUACCCUUUGGCGGGGGAUAACGUUCCGAAAGGAGCGCUAAUACCGCAUAAGACCACGGAGUCUCCGGACGCUGUGGGAAAAGGUGGCCUCUUCUUGAAAGCUACCACCGAAGGAUGAGCCUGCGUCCUAUCAGCUAGUUGGUAAGGUAAUGGCUUACCAAGGCGAAGACGGGUAGCUGGUUUGAGAGAAUGAUCAGCCACACUGGCACUGGAACACGGGCCAGACUCCUACGGGAGGCAGCAGUGAGGAAUAUUGGGCAAUGGGCGAAAGCCUGACCCAGCCACGCCGCGUGAGUGAUGAAGGCCCUCGGGUCGUAAAGCUCUGUGGAGAGGGACGAAAACCCUGGUUUCAAAUAGGCUCCAGACUUGACGGUACCUCUUUAGCAAGCACCGGCUAACUCUGUGCCAGCAGCCG